Molecule: ribosomal RNA, 498 nt
Filed under: uncultured bacterium
Lineage: Bacteria
Description: partial 16S ribosomal RNA
Rfam family: Bacterial small subunit ribosomal RNA
Source: RNAcentral
AUUGAACGCUGGCGGCAGGCUUAACACAUGCAAGUCGAACGGUAACGCGGGGCAACCUGGCGACGAGUGGCGAACGGGUGAGUAAUACAUCGGAACGUGCCCAGUAGUGUGGGAUAGCCCGGCGAAAGCCGGAUUAAUACCGCAUACGACCUAAGGGUGAAAGGGGGGGAUCGCAAGACCUCUCGCUAUUGGAGCGGCCGAUGUCAGAUUAGGUAGUGUGUGGGGUAAAGGCCCACCAAGCCAACGAUCUGUAGCUGGUCUGAGAGGACGAUCAGCCACACUGGGACGGAGACACGGCCCAGACUCCUACGGGAGGCAGCAGUGGGGAAUUUUGGACAAGGGGGGAAACCCUGAUCCAGCCAUGCCGCGUGCGGGAAGAAGGCCUUCGGGUUGUAAACCGCUUUUGUCAGGGAAGAAAAGCUCUAGGAUAAUACCUUGGAGUAAUGACGGUACCUGAAGAAUAAGCACCGGCUAACUACGUGCCAGCAGCCGCCGUAA